CCUACGGGAGGCAGCAGUGGGGAAUUUUGGACAAUGGGCGCAAGCCUGAUCCAGCAAUGCCGCGUGAGUGAAGAAGGCCUUCGGGUUGUAAAGCUCUUUUGUCAGGGAAGAAACGGUGGGGGCUAAUAUCCUCCACUAAUGACGGUACCUGAAGAAUAAGCACCGGCUAACUACGUGCCAGCAGCCGCGGUAAUACGUAGGGUGCAAGCGUUAAUCGGAAUUACUGGGCGUAAAGCGUGCGCAGGCGGUUUUGUAAGUUUGUCGUGAAAUCCCCGGGCUCAACCUGGGAAUGGCGAUGAAGACUGCAAGGCUAGAAUCUGGCAGAGGGGGGUAGAAUUCCACGUGUAGCAGUGAAAUGCGUAGAGAUGUGGAGGAACACCGAUGGCGAAGGCAGCCCCCUGGGUCAAGAUUGACGCUCAUGCACGAAAGCGUGGGGAGCAAACAGGAUUAGAUACCCUGGUAGUCCACGCCCUAAACGAUGUCUACUAGUUGUCGGGUUUUAAUUAACUUGGUAACGCAGCUAACGCGUGAAGUAGACCGCCUGGGGAGUACGGUCGCAAGGNUUAAAACGUUCAAAUGAAUUGACGG
RNAcentral lists this ribosomal RNA (588 nucleotides) under uncultured bacterium. Its description in RNAcentral is "bacterial SSU rRNA". It matches the Rfam family "Bacterial small subunit ribosomal RNA", at positions 338 to 916 of the family's 1533-position model. The record is from RNAcentral.